GAUGAACGCUGGCGGCGUGCCUAAUACAUGCAAGUCGAGCGAACAGAUGAGGAGCUUGCUCCUCUGACGUUAGCGGCGGACGGGUGAGUAACACGUGGAUAACCUACCUAUAAGACUGGGAUAACUUCGGGAAACCGGAGCUAAUACCGGAUAAUAUAUUGAACCGCAUGGUUCAAUAGUGAAAGACGGUUUUGCUGUCACUUAUAGAUGGAUCCGCGCCGCAUUAGCUAGUUGGUAAGGUAACGGCUUACCAAGGCAACGAUGCGUAGCCGACCUGAGAGGGUGAUCGGCCACACUGGAACUGAGACACGGUCCAGACUCCUACGGGAGGCAGCGGUAGGGAAUCUUCCGCAAUGGGCGAAAGCCAGACGGAGCAACGCCGCGUGAGUGAUGAAGGUCUUCGGAUCGUAAAACUCUGUUAUUAGGGAAGAACAAAUGUGUAAGUAACUAUGCACGUCUUGACGGUACCUAAUCAGAAAGCCACGGCUAACUACGUG
This 497-nucleotide ribosomal RNA is filed under the name uncultured bacterium. RNAcentral's name for it is "partial 16S ribosomal RNA". It matches the Rfam family "Bacterial small subunit ribosomal RNA", at positions 28 to 507 of the family's 1533-position model. The record is from RNAcentral.